CUUUGAAACUUUGACGUCAGGCAUUGACUUCUCACUAGCUAUGAAAGUUCUAG
RNAcentral lists this microRNA precursor (53 nucleotides) under Canis lupus familiaris (dog). Its description in RNAcentral is "miRNA (ENSCAFG00000059225.1, ENSCAFG00845027821.1)". The record is from RNAcentral. Lineage: Eukaryota; Metazoa; Chordata; Mammalia; Carnivora; Canidae.